RNAcentral lists this ribosomal RNA (274 nucleotides) under uncultured bacterium. RNAcentral describes it as "partial 16S ribosomal RNA". It matches the Rfam family "Bacterial small subunit ribosomal RNA", at positions 523 to 796 of the family's 1533-position model. The record is from RNAcentral.
AAACGUAGGAGGCGAACGUUAUUCGGAAUCACUGGGCGUAAAGGGCGCGUAGGCGGGUUUGUAAGUCAGGUGUGAAAUCCUACAGCUCAACUGUAGAACUGCACUUGAAACUACAGACCUAGAGUAUGGAAGGGGCAGAUGGAAUUAGUGGUGUAGGGGUAAAAUCCGUAGAUAUCACUAGGAAUACCGAAAGCGAAGGCGAUCUGCUGGGACAUUACUGACGCUGAGGCGUGAAAGCGUGGGGAGCAAACAGGAUUAGAUACCCUAGUAGUCC